UAGUAACGGCGAGUGAAGCGGCAAGAGCUCAAAUUUGAAAGCUGGCCCCCUCGGGGUCCGCAUUGUAAUUUGCAGAGGAUGCUUCGGGAACGGCCCCCAUCUAAGUGCCCUGGAACGGGCCGUCAUAGAGGGUGAGAAUCCCGUCUGGGAUGGGGUGGCCGCGCCCGUGUGAAGCUCCUUCGACGAGUCGAGUUGUUUGGGAAUGCAGCUCUAUUGGGUGGUAAAUUUCAUCUAAAGCUAAAUAUUGGCCGGAGACCGAUAGCGCACAAGUAGAGUGAUCGAAAGAUGAAAAGCACUUUGAAAAGAGAGUUAAACAGCACGUGAAAUUGUUGAAAGGGAAGCGCUUGCGACCAGACUCGCCCGCGGGGUUCAGCCGGCACUCGUGCCGGUGUACUUCCCCGCGGGCGGGCCAGCGUCGGUUUGGGCGGCCGGUCAAAGGCCUCUGGAAGGUAACGCCUCUCGGGGCGUCUUAUAGCCAGGGGUGCCAUGCGGCCUGCCCGGACCGAGGAACGCGCUUCGGCUCGGACGCUGGCAUAAUGGUCGUAAGCGACCCGUCUUGAAACACGGACCAAGGAGUCUAACAUCUACGCGAGUGUUCGGGUGUCAAACCCGUGCGCGCAGUGAAAGCGAACGGAGGUGGGAACCCCCCGGGGUGCACCAUCGACCGAUCCUGAUGUCUUCGGAUGGAUUUGAGUAAGAGCGUAGCUGUUGGGACCCGAAAGAUGGUGAACUAUGCCUGAAUAGGGCGAAGCCAGAGGAAACUCUGGUGGAGGCUCGCAGCGGUUCUGACGUGCAAAUCGAUCGUCAAA
RNAcentral lists this ribosomal RNA (809 nucleotides) under Fusarium sp. Its description in RNAcentral is "partial large subunit ribosomal RNA". It matches the Rfam family "Eukaryotic large subunit ribosomal RNA", at positions 81 to 909 of the family's 3401-position model. The record is from RNAcentral. Lineage: Eukaryota; Fungi; Ascomycota; Sordariomycetes; Hypocreales; Nectriaceae.